GAACUAAAGUGGACCAAGAAGGCUACGUUGAAGCUUCCGAAGGCCACGUUCCACGAGGCAAGCCACAGUCUGGGGUGGACAUGUGGAAGGGGCUUCGGCCAGGUUGACAUGAUCCACAACGGUGGAACCCGUGAAAGCAGCGACCACGAUCAGUUCUUCCCUGAGGAGGCGCAGGAAGGGGAAGAAUUCUAUGGUGCAGACGAGUUCUUGUUCUAG
Molecule: long non-coding RNA, 216 nt
Filed under: Oryza sativa aromatic subgroup
Lineage: Eukaryota; Viridiplantae; Streptophyta; Magnoliopsida; Poales; Poaceae
Description: lncRNA OsARC_03g0022560
Source: RNAcentral